GACGAACGCUGGCGGCGUGCUUAACACAUGCAAGUCGAACGGAAAGGCCCUGCUUUUGUGGGGUGCUCGAGUGGCGAACGGGUGAGUAACACGUGAGUAACCUGCCCUUGACUUUGGGAUAACUUCAGGAAACUGGGGCUAAUACCGGAUAGGAGCUCCUGCUGCAUGGUGGGGGUUGGAAAGUUUCGGCGGUUGGGGAUGGACUCGCGGCUUAUCAGCUUGUUGGUGGGGUAGUGGCUUACCAAGGCUUUGACGGGUAGCCGGCCUGAGAGGGUGACCGGCCACAUUGGGACUGAGAUACGGCCCAGACUCCUACGGGUGGCUG
RNAcentral lists this ribosomal RNA (325 nucleotides) under uncultured Actinomycetes bacterium. RNAcentral describes it as "bacterial SSU rRNA". It matches the Rfam family "Bacterial small subunit ribosomal RNA", at positions 28 to 351 of the family's 1533-position model. Lineage: Bacteria; Bacillati; Actinomycetota; Actinomycetes. The record is from RNAcentral.